AGAGUUUGAUCCAUGGCUCAGGACGAACGCUGGCGGCGUGCUUAACACAUGCAAGUCGAACGAUGAUGCCCAGCUUGCUGGGCGGAUUAGUGGCGAACGGGUGAGUAAUACGUGAGUAACCUGCCCUUGACUCUGGGAUAAGCCUGGGAAACUGGGUCUAAUACUGGAUACUACCUCUUACCGCAUGGUGGGUGGUGGAAAGGGUUUUACUGGUUUUGGAUGGGCUCACGGCCUAUCAGCUUGUUGGUGGGGUAAUGGCUCACCAAGGCGACGACGGGUAGCCGGCCUGAGAGGGUGACCGGCCACACUGGGACUGAGACACGGCCCAGACUCCUACGGGAGGCAGCAGUGGGGAAUAUUGCACAAUGGGCGGAAGCCUGAUGCAGCGACGCCGCGUGAGGGAUGACGGCCUUCGGGUUGUAAACCUCUUUCAGUAGGGAAGAAGCGAGAG
RNAcentral lists this ribosomal RNA (451 nucleotides) under Kocuria rosea. RNAcentral's name for it is "bacterial SSU rRNA". It matches the Rfam family "Bacterial small subunit ribosomal RNA", at positions 8 to 456 of the family's 1533-position model. The record is from RNAcentral. Lineage: Bacteria; Bacillati; Actinomycetota; Actinomycetes; Micrococcales; Micrococcaceae.